CUAGCUGUGUUUAUAGGGGUUUUUAACGUUGUUCUCUCUCCUUGUCUCUCCCCAGGUGUGGUCACAAGGAGGCAGUGUUCUUCCAGUCUCACAGUAUGAAGGCUGAGGACGCCAUGAGACUGUACUACGUGUGCACAGCGCCUCACUGUGGACACAGAUGGACGGAGUAAAGAUGAUGAAGAGGUCUAACAUUUUAUCUACAGUAAAUCUCCAACAGAGUUUGUUUUUUAACUGCUGGUGUUUGUAAACUCUGAAACCAUCUUUGUGUUUGUCUUUUUAGUUUCCAUCAUGUGAAUAUAUUGUAUUAAUAGUUAUUUUUUAUAUAACAGUUGUCAUUCAGGUGUGUUUUGUUAGAUUAAAAGAAUCAAUUGUU
Notothenia coriiceps (black rockcod) is the source of this 373-nucleotide long non-coding RNA. RefSeq lists it as uncharacterized. NCBI's taxonomy places the organism in Eukaryota, Metazoa, Chordata, Actinopteri, Perciformes, Nototheniidae. The transcript has 2 exons. The record is from RefSeq and is a predicted model, not a curated record.